This is a long non-coding RNA of Paramisgurnus dabryanus, 887 nucleotides long. RefSeq lists it as uncharacterized. The record is from RefSeq and is a predicted model, not a curated record. Lineage: Eukaryota; Metazoa; Chordata; Actinopteri; Cypriniformes; Cobitidae.
AGAUUUUCUGUCCUGGGACACUCGGCUAACCAUCAAGAAAGAACACACUCCAGUGGGCAUCCUUUAUCCAUCCAGACCCUCAUACAGAUGGUUGGAGUUUUGAUUCACCUAAAGUACCAUGCAAGAGCACUCAUUUUCCCUCUUGAGACCAUGGUGUGACCUGCAAGGUCGAAUGGAGACUGUAAGCGAGACAAUCUUGGAGUCACCUGCAUUGACUGGUCCAGUUGUUAGUCUAAUUACAGAUGGAGAUUAUAGAAGAGGAUGAUGUCUUUUCUCCAACAUCUUUCUAGACUGAUAAAAGAUCUAGACAGGCUUGAACAAAAGUUAACAGAGGGGCUUAUAUAGAGAAUGGUGAGCAGCUACACAUAAAAGAAGAACAUGGAGAAUCUGCCCAGAGGUGUUAACCAGCAAUGCAGCUAUACAACUAAAUUGAUGCAGGCGGAAACAAUGUGUGUAUGUUAUGUCCAAAUGUUGUUAUGUUCAAAUGUUUUACAAUAUACUUAAACAGGUGGACCUGUCAAUAUUGCAUUAGUCAAGUACAACUGAGUAGGUUAAGUUUACAUAUCAACGUCAAUAAAUAUAUAAAAAUAAAUAUCAGUCUUGACAGCAAACAUAAUAAUGUUAAAUAAAAUAAUAAUUACAGCUUUUUAAGAAAUUUACACGGGCUCAAACUAUCAGUGAAAUUAACUAUCAAAAACCUAAAAUAACCACAGACACGUGAAUAAAAUAUCUAACGUGAACUAGCUAGUUACUGUACAUACAUUGCUAAUUAUCAACGAAAUUUCUAGUUAACUGAUCCCACACCCAGCAUUAUUAAAAUGUAUUAUUACUACAUACCUUAAACAAAUGUCCCCUUAAAUCGCCAGACCAGGACAGGUUUCUUUCUU